GACGAACGCUGGCGGCGUGCUUAACACAUGCAAGUCGAACGGAAAGGCCCUGCUUUUGUGGGGUGCUCGAGUGGCGAACGGGUGAGUAACACGUGAGUAACCUGCCCUCGACUUUGGGAUAACUUCAGGAAACUGGGGCUAAUACCGGAUAGGAGCUCCUGCUGCAUGGUGGGGGUUGGAGAGUUUCGGCGGUUGGGGAUGGACUCGCGGCUUAUCAGCUUGUUGGUGGGGUAGUGGCUUACCAAGGCUUUGACGGGUAGCCGGCCUGAUAGGGUGACCGGCCACAUUGGGACUGAGAUACGGCCCAGACUCCUACGGGAGGCAGCAGUGGGGAAUAUUGCACAAUGGGCGGAAGCCUGAUGCAGCAACGCCGCGUGCGGGAUGACGGCCUUCGGGUUGUAAACCGCUUUCGCCUGUGACGAAGCGUGAGUGACGGUAAUGGGUAAAGAAGCACCGGCUAACUACGUG
Molecule: ribosomal RNA, 468 nt
Filed under: uncultured bacterium
Lineage: Bacteria
Description: partial 16S ribosomal RNA
Rfam family: Bacterial small subunit ribosomal RNA
Source: RNAcentral